This 958-nucleotide ribosomal RNA is filed under the name Geastrum schweinitzii. RNAcentral describes it as "eukaryotic LSU rRNA". It matches the Rfam family "Eukaryotic large subunit ribosomal RNA", at positions 1 to 940 of the family's 3401-position model. Lineage: Eukaryota; Fungi; Basidiomycota; Agaricomycetes; Geastrales; Geastraceae. The record is from RNAcentral.
UUUGACCUCAAAUCAGGUAGGACUACCCGCUGAACUUAAGCAUAUCAAUAAGCGGAGGAAAAGAAACUAACAAGGAUUCCCCUAGUAACGGCGAGUGAAGAGGGAAGAGCUCAAAUUUGAAAUCUGGUGGCCUACGGUCAUCCGAGUUGUAAUCUAGAGAAGUGUUUUCCGUGCUGGACCGUGUACAAGUCCUUUGGAACAAGGCGUCAUAGAGGGUGAGAAUCCCGUCUACGACACGGACUGCCAGUGCUUUGUGAUACACUCUCAACGAGUCGAGUUGUUUGGGAAUGCAGCUCAAAAUGGGUGGUAAAUUCCAUCUAAAGCUAAAUACAGGCGAAAGACCGAUAGCGAACAAGUACCGUGAGGGAAAGAUGAAAAGCACUUUGGAAAGAGAGUUAAACAGUACGUGAAAUUGUUGAAAGGGAAACGCUUGAAGUCAGUCGCGUCUUCAGAAAUUCAGCUUGGCUUCUGCCGGGUGUACUUUUCUGUUGGACGGGCCAGCAUCAGUUUUGGCCGCCAGAAAAAGGUGGGAGGAAGGUGGCACCUCCGGGUGUGUUAUAGCCUCUCACCGUAUGUGGCGGCUGGGACUGAGGAUCGCAGCAUGCCUUCAUGGCCGGGGUUCGCCCACGUAACGUGCUUAGGAUGCUGGCGUAAUGGCUUUAAGCGACCCGUCUUGAAACACGGACCAAGGAGUCUAACAUGCCUGCGAGUAUUUGGGUGGUAAACCCAUAUGCGGAAUGAAAGUGAACAGUUGGGACUUCUGUCAUGGAAGGCACCGACGCCCGGACCAGACCUAUUGUGACGGAUCCGAGGUAGAGCAUGUAUGUUGGGACCCGAAAGAUGGUGAACUAUGCCUGAGUAGGGUGAAGCCAGAGGAAACUCUGGUGGAGGCUCGUAGCGAUUCUGACGUGCAAAUCGAUCGUCGAACUUGGGUAYAGGGGCGAAAGACUAAUCGANC